Molecule: ribosomal RNA, 497 nt
Filed under: uncultured bacterium
Lineage: Bacteria
Description: partial 16S ribosomal RNA
Rfam family: Bacterial small subunit ribosomal RNA
Source: RNAcentral
GACGAACGCUGGCGGCGUGCCUAAUACAUGCAAGUUGAGCGAUGAAGAUUGGUGCUUGCACCAAUUUGAAGAGCAGCGAACGGGUGAGUAACGCGUGGGGAAUCUGCCUUUGAGCGGGGGACAACAUUUGGAAACGAAUGCUAAUACCGCAUAAUAACUUUAAACAUAAGUUUUAAGUUUGAAAGAUGCAAUUGCAUCACUCAAAGAUGAUCCCGCGUUGUAUUAGCUAGUUGGUGAGGUAAAGGCUCACCAAGGCGAUGAUACAUAGCCGACCUGAGAGGGGGAUCGGCCAAAUUGGGACUGAGACACGGCCCAAACUCCUACGGGAGGCAGCAGUAGGGAAUCUUCGGCAAUGGACGAAAGUCUGACCGAGCAACGCCGCGUGAGUGAAGAAGGUUUUCGGAUCGUAAAACUCUGUUGGUAGAGAAGAACGUUGGUGAGAGUGGAAAGCUCAUCAAGUGACGGUAACUACCCAGAAAGGGACGGCUAACUACGUG